RNAcentral lists this ribosomal RNA (433 nucleotides) under uncultured bacterium. RNAcentral's name for it is "partial 16S ribosomal RNA". It matches the Rfam family "Bacterial small subunit ribosomal RNA", at positions 29 to 507 of the family's 1533-position model. The record is from RNAcentral.
AACGAACGCUGGCGGCAUGCCUAACACAUGCAAGUCGAACGAUACCUUCGGGUCGAGUGGCGCACGGGUGCGUAAAGCGUGGGAACCUGCCCCUAGGUUCUGAAGAAUUCCCCGCAAGGGGUGCUAAUACCGGAUAAUGUCCUCGGACCUAAGAUUUAUCGGCUUUGGAUGUGCCCGCGUUGGAUUAGGGUUUCGGUAGGUUAAAAGGCUACCAAGGCGAAGAUCCAUAGUGGGUCUGAUGGGAGGAGCAGCCACACUGGGAUUGCGACACGGCCCAGACUCGUACGGGAGGCAGCAGUGGGGAAUAUUGGAGAAUGGGCGAAAGCCUGCGCCAGCGAUGCCGCGGGAGUGAUGUAGGCCUUAGGGUUGUCAAGCUCUUAUACCCGGGAUGAUAAUGACAGUACCGGGAGAAUAAGCACCGGCUAACUCCGUG